RNAcentral lists this ribosomal RNA (401 nucleotides) under uncultured bacterium. RNAcentral's name for it is "bacterial SSU rRNA". It matches the Rfam family "Bacterial small subunit ribosomal RNA", at positions 975 to 1375 of the family's 1533-position model. The record is from RNAcentral.
CAAAUCUUGACAUCCUCUGACCCCUCUAGAGAUAGAGUAUUCCCCUUCGGGGGACAGAGUGACAGGUGGUGCAUGGUUGUCGUCAGCUCGUGUCGUGAGAUGUUGGGUUAAGUCCCGCAACGAGCGCAACCCUUAAGCUUAGUUGCCAUCAUUAAGUUGGGCACUCUAAGUUGACUGCCGGUGACAAACCGGAGGAAGGUGGGGAUGACGUCAAAUCAUCAUGCCCCUUAUGAUUUGGGCUACACACGUGCUACAAUGGACAAUACAAAGGGUAGCGAAACCGCGAGGUCGAGCAAAUCCCAUAAAGUUGUUCUCAGUUCGGAUUGUAGUCUGCAACUCGACUAUAUGAAGCUGGAAUCGCUAGUAAUCGUAGAUCAGCAUGCUACGGUGAAUACGUUCCC